UUGAUGUUUCAGUUCGAGCCACCAAUUGUCUUCGUUUCGUGAUUCUGACGCAGCGUACAAACUACCAUUGGGAUGUAUGUUAUUAUGAAACAGGCGAAUGAGUAAUAAAUGAGUAAACCGGUGAGAACAGCCGAGCAAAUGGUAGAAAAGAAGUUUACUCAUCAGGUAGGAAGAAAAUGGGAGACGAAAAGGUCAAGCUAUGUCAACACUUUUUCUCCACGUUAUGCGAUCUGUACUUUGCCCAAGAAUGAUCAACAGGCCGUCUUCAGAGUCUCUUUUUCAACUGCCAGUCGGAGUUCCUUUAUGCGAUAACAAUACCCUUAAUAGCGUAAAAAAUAGACUUAGAUAAUUCGACAGUAGUUUGCAUGACGAACUCGCUAAGAGAAUACAAUGUUCCAUCGCUAUUGUCUCUACGAUUCGUACGUGACACCGCGGCAGUUUGACCUCUGAAUACAAUUCUGCCGCUGUGAUUUCCGAACGAAUAGUUGUUUUCAUUUAAAAGAGACCAAUAGGACAAUGAAUCAUAAUGUACAUUAUGCUUCGAUUUCGAAACAUUGCAUAUGAUGACCCUGUUAUUUUCCGGCGACUGUGUUUGAUUGUUCCACGAUUAUUUUUAUAAAAGCGGCUGGCAUAAUGUUUCAUUUCAUAGAACCAGCAGGUUUAAUUUAUCAGCGUUCCAAUUCUCAUUGAUACGAUGGCAAAUGUCAGUUCGUUUAUACGCAGGUUUCAUGAUUGUUUAUCGACAAUUUCAUGAUUUUUUAUACAUACAUGUGUUAUCCGUUCGAAAAUGAAACGAAUAAUACGUAUUUAGGAAGAACCAUUACAUCAUUAUGAUUUCGCGAUGAAAGCAAUUGGAGGUCAUCUACUGAUACGGUAGAGAAGCAGAGAUAAUAGUUUUUUUUCCCCGAACAAUCUGCAUCGCAAAUGAUCGACGAUGUCUGUUUGUUUCGCAUUGGGAAACAGUGUUAUGCUUUGCAAUUUGCGCGAAGGAAAAUGGUCAAAACGCGAUAGGCUGGUCGACCGGUUGAUAUUGCUGCUUUUAUUUAUCAAUGAAAAUUAUAGCUCGUUAACGAAGACGAGCGUGUCAGUCGAGUUGGUAUCGCAGUGUACGGUAAAAAUAGCGAUUAGCGAUUGCGUCCGCGAUAAAUCAUGAUAAAAGGUGCUAUGUAGUGGCGUGAAAGAGCUUUCGCUGCCUCGUAGACGCAAUGUAACACCACUAACGUUGCUUCUUUUUUUGGCUCACGCCGACUACAGAUAAUAAGUUCGAUUUAUGUUCACUUCGAUGUAUCGUCGAUAAGGCUCUGCGUAAUUAAAGCCUUCUAUUUCGAAAUAAUCUUGAUUGGCGUACACCAGCCUUUUCCGCCGUACUCGAACUCGUUUUCAAACGGCGUUUAUGCUUCAGUAAUUUCAAUCAUAUUUUCCAGAUUAUAUACCUUGUUCCAAAUACCCGCCUAAUUGUGCGAAACAAAUCGUAUUUUCGGCCAAAAUAUUUGUAUAUUUCUAACUUAAUUAUGAAAUGCUAUGUCUCAAUUAUUUUUAUUUUAAUCGCUUCUAAGAAUAGCUCUUCGUUAUUCGUACUUUUUGAUAAUCCCCUAACAUGGACAGAUCAAGAUUAUUCAAAAGCAGAUUUCAGUUUGUUUGAAAUGGAUAUUACAUUAACCCAUUAAAGACCAGUGGUGCAUUAAGACUACAUUUCAUAGGCGAUCUCUUUUCCAACCAAUUUACAUCAUUGAAUUGAAUUUUUUAACAUUGCGGUUACCAGAAGGAAUUCCAAGGAUUUGUUUAAUAUUAUUUAGCGUAAUAUAAUGUAAUAUUAAUUAAAUAAUUAACGCCGUUUCUUCCUUCCAUCUAGAUUUAUCCUUUUAUAAAGUUUAAAGAAAUUGAAAUACUUAUAGCAUUAUGAUAAAUUACACUUUCUUAUAUAAUGAAAUUUUAUUGUGGUCUUUAAUUUAUACAGUGGAACUCUGUAAACAUCUGUUAUUCUAAUAACAGUAUAAUAUCUUGUAUUUUAACAAAACCAUAUGUUGACUAUCUUAUUUACAAUUUUUAUUAAUACUAUGUUUACACAUCUGUUAUGCAUUGUUUCGCAGCUUGGCCCUUAAUAGGUUAAUAAAAUCAUAUUGUUCAACAA
Long non-coding RNA from Bombus terrestris (buff-tailed bumblebee), 2131 nucleotides. RefSeq lists it as uncharacterized. NCBI's taxonomy places the organism in Eukaryota, Metazoa, Arthropoda, Insecta, Hymenoptera, Apidae. The record is from RefSeq and is a predicted model, not a curated record. The transcript has 2 exons.